RNAcentral lists this long non-coding RNA (209 nucleotides) under Carica papaya (papaya). RNAcentral's name for it is "long non-coding RNA (CPAP_LNC011601)". Lineage: Eukaryota; Viridiplantae; Streptophyta; Magnoliopsida; Brassicales; Caricaceae. The record is from RNAcentral.
GUUAAUAAAAUAAUUACAAACAUAGUUCUAGUCAAUUUUUUCAUUAUAAAAAUAGAAUUCUUCCAUAGUAAUGCACAUAUUCACACUCAACAAGAUACGAAUCCAUGAACGGAUCUAACCAAGCAUCAAAGGGCAGUUUAAGAGACAUAUCAUCAUCUUCAGUAUCAUUUGGGAGGGAAAUGGAUUGGGGUGAUUUCUAUAAAAGUCAA